GGCACUUCCCCGCACAGACAGAGGUGUUUGCCUGUUUCCCGCAGCAGAGCAGAUACUGACGGGCCGCUCUCAUGUCUCCCAGAGCCUCCUCUUCUCCACGCUGCACAGCCCCAGCUCUCAGCCUGUCCUCCUAAAGGAACGGAGCUGUUCCGUCCCUGGGAUCCUUUUUGUGGCCCUCCUCUGGAUGCGCUCCAGCAGCUCCACGUCCCUCCUGUGCUGAGGACCCCCCGUGCGGCUGCAGUACUGCUGGUGGCUUCGCACAUCCUGCUGAACCUCUUCCCUCCCACGUGCGAGCAGUCGGCCAUCCGCGGUGCUGCGUGUCGGUGUGCUCGCCUGGCAGUUCCCAAGUGUGACCACGGCACCCCGCGCUGCUCUGCGGUUCAGCGCCCGCACACCAGGCACGGUGUGCCCACUCGGCAUGCUGCGAGCCCUGUGCCUGCUCUGCCCAUCUUCGGCCUCUCCCUUUUCUUUCUUAUUUCUGCCUGAACGGGUUCGGAUGAGACGAGACCUCCCCGAGUGCACGCAGUGCCUCCGCAGAGGCACGGAUCCACCGCAGAACGCUGAGCUCCCGCAGCACCCUUAC
This 583-nucleotide long non-coding RNA is filed under the name Gallus gallus (chicken). RNAcentral describes it as "long non-coding RNA NONGGAT012116". The record is from RNAcentral. Lineage: Eukaryota; Metazoa; Chordata; Aves; Galliformes; Phasianidae.